CCAGAAGCUGUGUCUCCUCGCACCAAUGAGGAGAGCCACUGAGAGCAGCCUGGCCGGAGACCUCUUGGCACAAACGUGGUGAGCUUGGGGAGAUUUGGACCUCCAGAUUCAGUACUACUUUGACGCAGCCUCUUUGCCACGGAUUAACAAAAGGAUUUGCACUGCCCAAACAUCUCCAAGCUGCUGGCGCACCUCCAGGAGCCGGGGAGAACCUCCUGGCACAAUUCCUUUCCCUAGCAAAGGGGGCGAAC
RNAcentral lists this long non-coding RNA (251 nucleotides) under Dasypus novemcinctus (nine-banded armadillo). RNAcentral's name for it is "lncRNA (ENSDNOG00000052804.1)". The record is from RNAcentral. Lineage: Eukaryota; Metazoa; Chordata; Mammalia; Cingulata; Dasypodidae.